UAGGAGAAAGAAUGAAAGGAACAAAAGAUUUUUUUUGGUUUUUU
This 44-nucleotide small RNA is filed under the name Arabidopsis thaliana (thale cress). RNAcentral's name for it is "ATSL003760". Lineage: Eukaryota; Viridiplantae; Streptophyta; Magnoliopsida; Brassicales; Brassicaceae. The record is from RNAcentral.